CCUACGGGCGGCAGCAGUGGGGAAUAUUGGGCAAUGGGCGCAAGCCUGACCCAGCAACGCCGCGUGAAGGAAGAAGGCUUUCGGGUUGUAAACUUCUUUUGUCAGGGACGAGCAGAUGACGGUACCUGACGAAUAAGCCACGGCUAACUACGUGCCAGCAGCCGCGGUAAUACGUAGGUGGCAAGCGUUGUCCGGAUUUACUGGGUGUAAAGGGCGUGUAGCCGGGUUGACAAGUCAGAUGUGAAAUCUUGCGGCUUAACCGAAGAACUGCAUUUGAAACUGUUGUUCUUGAGUGCUGGAGAGGCAAACGGAAUUCCGGGUGUAGCGGUGAAAUGCGUAGAUAUUAGGAGGAACACCAGUGGCGAAGGCGGUCUGCUGGACAGCAACUGACGGUGAGGCGCGAAAGCGUGGGGAGCAAACAGGAUUAGAUACCCUUGUAGUC
This 442-nucleotide ribosomal RNA is filed under the name uncultured bacterium. Its description in RNAcentral is "partial 16S ribosomal RNA". It matches the Rfam family "Bacterial small subunit ribosomal RNA", at positions 338 to 795 of the family's 1533-position model. The record is from RNAcentral.